AUCCUUCUAGUAUAAUAUACAUUUUAUUUCCAAUAAAAAAAUUAUAAGGAUA
RNAcentral lists this transfer RNA (52 nucleotides) under Paratemnoides elongatus. Its description in RNAcentral is "tRNA-Gly". The record is from RNAcentral. Lineage: Eukaryota; Metazoa; Arthropoda; Arachnida; Pseudoscorpiones; Atemnidae.